Molecule: ribosomal RNA, 547 nt
Filed under: uncultured bacterium
Lineage: Bacteria
Description: bacterial SSU rRNA
Rfam family: Bacterial small subunit ribosomal RNA
Source: RNAcentral
ACGAUCAGUAGCCGACCUGAGAGGGUGACCGGCCACAUUGGAACUGAGACACGGUCCAAACUCCUACGGGAGGCAGCAGUGGGGAAUAUUGCACAAUGGGCGAAAGCCUGAUGCAGCAACGCCGCGUGAGUGAUGAAGGCCUUCGGGUCGUAAAACUCUGUCCUCAAGGAAGAUAAUGACGGUACUUGAGGAGGAAGCCCCGGCUAACUACGUGCCAGCAGCCGCGGUAAUACGUAGGGGGCUAGCGUUAUCCGGAUUUACUGGGCGUAAAGGGUGCGUAGGCGGUCUUUCAAGUCAGGAGUGAAAGGCUACGGCUCAACCGUAGUAAGCUCUUGAAACUGGGAGACUUGAGUGCAGGAGAGGAGAGUGGAAUUCCUAGUGUAGCGGUGAAAUGCGUAGAUAUUAGGAGGAACACCAGUUGCGAAGGCGGCUCUCUGGACUGUAACUGACGCUGAGGCACGAAAGCGUGGGGAGCAAACAGGAUUAGAUACCCUGGUAGUCCACGCUGUAAACGAUGAGUACUAGGUGUCGGGGGUUACCCCCUUCG